Molecule: non-coding RNA, 166 nt
Filed under: pig gut metagenome
Source: RNAcentral
UCCAGGUGGCAUCUGUCACUGGGAAUGAAAAGGGAACUUCGGUGUAAAUCCGAGACUAUACCCGUAGCUGUGAGUUUCUUAUGAAGUCCGAGCAAUCUCUACGGUCACUGCCUCUUGGCGGGAAGACCGCACGGACGAAACGAGUCAGAAGACCUGCCUUUUUCUG